This 536-nucleotide long non-coding RNA is filed under the name Capsicum annuum. RNAcentral describes it as "long non-coding RNA (CANN_LNC014228)". The record is from RNAcentral. Lineage: Eukaryota; Viridiplantae; Streptophyta; Magnoliopsida; Solanales; Solanaceae.
CUAAGGGAAUGUUGAGGAAUUAAGCAAACAAUUAGAAGACUUGGAAACAUUUCACAUCACGUAUACAUGAUCCAUCCAAUGCGUAACAUGCUUGGUCUUCCUUUCCUUUUUUUUCUGUCCCGGAUGCCAAAUUGUGGACACGACAAUUAGUCACCUUUGUCCACAUAUUGCCUAUUUUUGUUUGUCCUUUUCCAAGUAUUUGCCUCAAUUUCUUUACAAUGAAGCAAUAAAACAUCAAACUAAUGACCAACAGCAGUGGCGCAGUGAAAAGGAGCGACCCAACCUACUUAUAUAUUGAGGAUUUGAUUCUGGGUAUAGAUAAACAUUCUGUUGGGAGUUUUUUUCCUCCAAAUGGGGUUUGAUGCGGGGCGAAUCCAGAUAUAAUCGGACUCUUAAAAAACGGAUACUGAAUACCAGGUGGUUUAAACCAAAAAACGAAGAUCAAACUAAUGAGAUACACGUGAGGAGAACUACAAAAAGAAUCUGACGUUUAUCAACAUAACUAGAUAUUCACCGUUCGUGAUAGUACGGGCUCA